Molecule: long non-coding RNA, 331 nt
Organism: Lycium ferocissimum
Lineage: Eukaryota; Viridiplantae; Streptophyta; Magnoliopsida; Solanales; Solanaceae
Exons: 2
Source: RefSeq, a predicted model, not a curated record
AGCUUGGAGAAGAUAUAGCGAAGACGCUUAGGGAAAGAGCUGUUGACCAGGAUGUUACUUCUGUUUUAAUGCUGUCAAGGCCUAUGUCACCACUUAGUGGGAAAACCGCAAUUAAGUCUGCUCACUGAUCACCAUCAAGGAAUAUUGAAGACGCAACCCACAUGAAAGAGUGAUGAUGAAGGAUGAUGUAAAAAGAGAUGGGGAAGAAGUGCCUUUCUUAUCACUUCUGUUAUGUAUAUUUUGCUGUACAGUAAGUAAUACGUAGAAAGUAGUAGGCAGAAGAAGUCAGACGAAAUCUCCUCCUCCACCGUGUACAUAUAGAAAAAGAAAA